Molecule: ribosomal RNA, 912 nt
Filed under: Redonographa chilensis
Lineage: Eukaryota; Fungi; Ascomycota; Lecanoromycetes; Ostropales; Graphidaceae
Description: LSU rRNA
Rfam family: Eukaryotic large subunit ribosomal RNA
Source: RNAcentral
AUAUCAAUAAGCGGAGGAAAAGAAACCAACAGGGAUUGCCUCAGUAACGGCGAGUGAAGCGGCAACAGCUCAAAUUUGAAAUCUGGGCCCCCCCGAGGGGAACAGAAUUGUAAUUUGGAGAAGGUGCCUCGGGUGAGAUACCGGUCCAAGUCCCUUGGAACAGGGCGUCAUAGAGGGUGAGAAUCCCGUACGGAUCGGCCGUCAAGCCCGCCGGAGGCCCUUUCGACGAGUCGAGUUGUUUGGGAAUGCAGCUCUAAAUGGGUGGUAAAUUUCAUCUAAAGCUAAAUACCGGCCAGAGACCGAUAGCGCACAAGUAGAGUGAUCGAAAGAUGAAAAGCACUUUGAAAAGAGAGUUAAAAAGUACGUGAAAUUGUUGAAAGGGAAGCGCUUGCAACCAGACUUGCUCGCGGGUGAUCAGCCGUCCCUUCGGGGUAGGUGCACUCUCCCGCGGUCAGGCCAGCAUCGGUUCCGGCGGUCGGACAAAGGCUCCGGGAACGUAGCUCCCCUCGGGGAGUGUUAUAGCCCGAGGUGCAAUGCGGCCAGCCGGGACCGAGGACCGCGCUUAUGCUAGGAUGCUGGCGUAAUGGUUGCCAGCGACCCGUCUUGAAACACGGACCAAGGAGUCGACCAACGUCGCGAGUGCUUGGGCGUCAAACCCAUGCGCGCAAUGAAAGUGAACGGAGGUGAGAGCCCCCACCGGGGGUGCACCAUCGACCGAUCCCGAUGUCUUCGGACGGAUUUGAGUAUGAGCGUCGCCGGUCGGACCCGAAAGAUGGUGAACUAUGCGCGGAUAGGGUGAAGCCAGAGGAAACUCUGGUGGAGGCUCGCAGCGGUUCUGACGUGCAAAUCGAUCGUCAAAUCUACGCAUAGGGGCGAAAGACUAAUCGAACCAUCUAGUAGCUGGUUCCUGUC